RNAcentral lists this ribosomal RNA (264 nucleotides) under uncultured archaeon. RNAcentral's name for it is "partial 16S ribosomal RNA". It matches the Rfam family "Archaeal small subunit ribosomal RNA", at positions 718 to 982 of the family's 1478-position model. The record is from RNAcentral.
AGUCACUGACAUUAGACUACCCCGGUAGUCCCAGCCGUAAACUAUGCGCGUUAGGUGUACUGGUGACCACGAGUCACCGGGGUGCCGAAGGGAACCGUGAAACGUGCCGCCUGGGAAGUACGGUCGCAAGGCUGAAACUUAAAGGAAUUGGCGGGGAGCACCACAACGGGUGGAGCCUGCGGUUUAAUUGGACUCAACGCCGGAAAUCUCACCGGAUAGGACAGACAUAUGAUAGUCGGGCUGAAGACUCUACUUGAUGAUCUG